AUUGAACGCUGGCGGCAGGCCUAACACAUGCAAGUCGAGCGGAUGAAGGGAGCUUGCUCCUGGAUUCAGCGGCGGACGGGUGAGUAAUGCCUAGGAAUCUGCCUGGUAGUGGGGGAUAACGUCCGGAAACGGGCGCUAAUACCGCAUACGUCCUGCGGGAGAAAGUGGGGGAUCUUCGGACCUCACGCUAUCAGAUGAGCCUAGGUCGGAUUAGCUAGUUGGUGGGGUAAAGGCCUACCAAGGCGACGAUCCGUAACUGGUCUGAGAGGAUGAUCAGUCACACUGGAACUGAGACACGGUCCAGACUCCUACGGGAGGCAGCAGUGGGGAAUAUUGGACAAUGGGCGAAAGCCUGAUCCAGCCAUGCCGCGUGUGUGAAGAAGGUCUUCGGAUUGUAAAGCACUUUAAGUUGGGAGGAAGGGCAGUAAGUUAAUACCUUGCUGUUUUGACGUUACCAAAAGAAUAAACACCGGCUAACUUCGU
This 483-nucleotide ribosomal RNA is filed under the name uncultured bacterium. RNAcentral describes it as "partial 16S ribosomal RNA". It matches the Rfam family "Bacterial small subunit ribosomal RNA", at positions 30 to 506 of the family's 1533-position model. The record is from RNAcentral.